CAGCCGCCGCGGUAAUACCGGCGGCCCGAGUGGCGGUCACUAUUAUUGGGCUUAAAGCGUCCGUAGCCGGGUUGGGAAGUCCUCCGGGAAAUCUGGCCGCUUAACGGUCAGAAUGCCGGAGGAUACUCCCAGCCUAGGGAGCGGGAGAGGCCGAGGGUAUUCCCGGAGUAGGGGUGAAAUCCUAUAAUCCCGGGAGGACCACCGGUGGCGAAGGCGCUCGGCUGGAACGCGUCCGACGGGGAGGGACGAAGGCCAGGGGAGCAAACCGGAUUAGAUACCCGGGUAGUCCUGGCGGUAAACGAUGCGGACUUUGUGUCGGACAAGCUAUGAGCUUGUCCGGUGCCGGAGGGAAACCGUUAAGUCCGCCGCCUGGGGAGUACGGCCGCAAGGCUGAAACUUAAAGGAAUUGGCGGG
RNAcentral lists this ribosomal RNA (414 nucleotides) under uncultured microorganism. RNAcentral describes it as "bacterial SSU rRNA". It matches the Rfam family "Archaeal small subunit ribosomal RNA", at positions 459 to 872 of the family's 1478-position model. The record is from RNAcentral.